Molecule: small RNA, 29 nt
Filed under: Bombyx mori (domestic silkworm)
Lineage: Eukaryota; Metazoa; Arthropoda; Insecta; Lepidoptera; Bombycidae
Description: ovarian small RNA-3748
Source: RNAcentral
UGCCACGAGAGGCCCUAUACCUAACAUAC